RNAcentral lists this ribosomal RNA (253 nucleotides) under uncultured bacterium. RNAcentral describes it as "partial 16S ribosomal RNA". It matches the Rfam family "Bacterial small subunit ribosomal RNA", at positions 524 to 776 of the family's 1533-position model. The record is from RNAcentral.
UACGAAGGGGGCUAGCGUUGCUCGGAAUUACUGGGCGUAAAGGGCGCGUAGGCGGAUGUUUAAGUCAGCGGUGAAAUCCCGGGGCUCAACCUCGGAACUGCCUUUGAUACUGGCUAUCUUGAGUAUGGGAGAGGUGUGUGGAACUCCGAGUGUAGAGGUGAAAUUCGUAGAUAUUCGGAAGAACACCAGUGGCGAAGGCGACACACUGGCCCAUUACUGACGCUGAGGCUCGAAAGCGUGGGGAGCAAACAGG